RNAcentral lists this small RNA (498 nucleotides) under Histoplasma capsulatum. Its description in RNAcentral is "hypothetical RNA". The record is from RNAcentral. RNAcentral also lists the same sequence under 1 other name. Lineage: Eukaryota; Fungi; Ascomycota; Eurotiomycetes; Onygenales; Ajellomycetaceae.
CUGCACUUUGGUGGUUUGGACUUGCGCGUAUAUGACAGCCUUAUCACUGCGGAUAUAUCAGCAAAGACGGCCGGUACGAUGGCCGGAGAUAUAAAGGAGCAACCUCAACUGGUAUAUGCUCUGUAAAAGACCUCGACGUGAGCUCUUCGCAGUAUAACAUGGAGUUAAAAACCGCCAUCCCGUCAAAGGUGACGGCGCGGAUCAUGCAAACAGAAUGUACGCUCAAAUAUCGCAAGCGCCUGAUGAUUUCCCAAAUAAAAAAUAGAAGAGAAAAGCUAAACGAAAAAAGAACACUCUUUUGCGUAAAUAGCUAGAUAUGAUUUUUCAAUAAUCAUAUCAUAUGAUGGCGUGCAAGACAAUCGGGUAGAGAGGGUGAUGGUUUCCGUACAAGGUCGGGCAACUCUCGCGAGGUACAGCUCAGCAACCGCUAUAGUACAAGGGAAAGAUAUCAGAGUUUAUGCAACUGGUCUGGCAAUGCUAGAUUAUGAAUGAAAGGGG